RNAcentral lists this long non-coding RNA (3387 nucleotides) under Gallus gallus (chicken). RNAcentral describes it as "lncRNA (ENSGALG00010005684.1)". The record is from RNAcentral. Lineage: Eukaryota; Metazoa; Chordata; Aves; Galliformes; Phasianidae.
GGCGCAGCUCCCGGCGAUGACCUCAGGCAGCUGAGCAAUUAGAGCCCCGCGCACCAGUGCUGUGCUGAGCGGGAACACAGCCCCGCGCCAGCCUUUAAUAUGAAAAUGAAGAAGGGAAACAACAAAUCCAAUAAACCGGCGAAGUCAAACAAAGCCAACUGGGAGUUCGUUUGGCGAUAAGAGCAAGGAAGAGAGGCGGCUGAUAAAGCCGGGUGUUUCUCCGCUGGCCCUGUCUGCCACGGGUCUGUCAGGACUGAGUGGCUCGGGAGGCAGCCUGGACUCACCCAGGUGGGAAAACCACCUCAGGGAAUGAGGACACAUGCGAGUGCUUCAUUUGCAGCCGGGGAGAACAGGCGUGUUUCUGCCCCUUUCCCAUUUCCAGGCAUCUGUAAGCGCUUUGCAAAGCAAAUGAGUUUGCUCCACAGUGGGCCAAGGACGCAGAGCCCAGGGAGCAGGUCGGCAGCUUCUGCUCACCUUCAUUUGAAACAGCAUUAUCCUGCUGAGAGUUUUGAAGUCAUAAAGUCACCCUCCGCUGCCAAGAUCCUCCAUCUGAAGAUCUCCAGCAGACGCCGACCGCAGCACCUCGGCACCGUAUCAAUUGAGCUCAGCCACUGUACAGCCCAGCAAAGCUCAGUCCUGUCACUGUGCAAACACUUUACUCCCAAAGAAGAGGAUCCCUACAAGAUCUCGGCCAACUUCAGAGCGCUCUGAGUAAGGUAUUAAGCCAACAUCAGCGCCUACACCAGCGCUCGUACCAGUCUGAGUUAAUCAGUUUAAACCCAUACCUUUAGAUAAAUACUUGUGUGCAGACAGACGGUGAUUCAGGAUUUGAUCAAAGCUCAAUGAAUACAAUGUGAAUGAACGUGCGGUCUGAACAAAUACAUAAAUAAACAGAAAAGAGACAAUAAAGGAUCAGUGGCCAUUCUCCUUGAAGACCAGGCACGGUGCUCAGAAAACCCCAGAGUCAGCUCUAAAGGGAUUACACGGAUUUGGCAGGGAAUCUGCUGCUCUGGAAGAUGAGGAGCUCAUCAGGAGUACAUUACCCUGGAAAAAUCCCCCAGCACUGGAAGGUCCCCACAUAGCCUGGAUUUGGAAUACCUUAACCCAUGGCUGUGCAACCUUCUGGCUUGCCUGGGCUGCAGUGAGUGAAGUGGAAUUGUCUUGGGCUGCAUAUACAGAGGUUGCACCAAAAGUAAUGCCUCCUAUUUAUUUCCCCAGAAACUACAACCAAUAUAACAGGCACAACAACACUAUUUGAUAGAGCAAAUUCUCUGCUACAAAACACUAUCUUUCAUCAGAGCCACCGUCAUUAGCUAUGCAUUUUCACCAGCAGUGAACAAAAGCCUGUAUGUCAUACUCCUCAAAACCUGUACCACUGGAGGUGACCCACUGUCACCACUGCUGAAACACACCACCCAUUGCCUCACUGUGCUCACAUCCGCUGUUUGGUCUCUACAAACAUGCAGCAAGCAUCGGUGAAUGCCACUUUUCUGUAUGAAGGAAUCCAAUGACACCCCUUUGCUUCAUAUGCACUUCCACAUAUUAGAUGUCACUUUGUCAGACUGCCCCUCUGCUGCCAUCUGUCACAUGGUAACAACAGGAACCAUGACAGAGGUUCUAUCUCCGAACACAAUUUUCUCAAGAAACACUCUGUAAAUGCCACUGAACUUACACGACGAAAGAUCUGCAGAACAAGGGCCUUAGCAGAGAUAAGUAAUCACAAGAAAAAGAUUAGGCAACAGCAAGCCUACAGGCGGAAGUGGCGUAUUGGGAUUGCAGUGGCAUGACUACAAAGCUUCAGAGGAGAGUGCACAAUUCUCACUUCAGUUCUGAUUUCUUUCUUCUGGCUCAUUUUUAGGCCAUAUAGUAUAUUUUAACCUUACUUCUUGUUUUUCAGGGAGCUCUCCUACACUUUUCUUUGUCUCUGUUUUCUCAUUCUAUUCCCUUCCAGGGUUUCUGCACUUUCUGUUCCAGAAAUCUCUUGCAGGAUCUGAUUCUGCAGAUGAUGCUGUAACCAGCAGUCAUAUUUUAUCCUGUGCCUGCUGAAACAAAUGAUGGAACUGCUAUUCCAGUAAGGGAGUCGUGAAUAUGGAUCAUAGCUCAGAAGAUGAACACCUCCAACUGUGCAUGCAAAGAACAUCUGAAUUGAUUUUCCAAGGAGGAGAAGUACAGAACUCAAAGUGCUCCUUUGGUAGGAUGUGUGUGCUCACACUGAAACUCAGGCUUUCAGAAUCAAUUCACAAACUCCUGUAACUCUGUACUAUUUAAACACGGAUUCAGAAGGUUACAUCAUUUCCUCUGACCCAUGCAAAGAUAAGACACAGGACCAUCAGACAGUAGGUGCUUGAUCUGUUUUGUAGGGUUUGCAGCGAUCUGACUAACAUCACUUAUAACCCAUCAAAGACACUCCACAGCUCAGUCCUGAGCCCUCUUAGGAUGCAACAAUCCUCCUACAGAGUGCACAGUUCGGAUAUCUAUACUGUGCAGAGAAGCAUUACAAAUGGACAAUUGCACAGGAUUAAUCCUGCUCAGAUUGCAUGCCCUGUGGCCUCUGGAUGACGGCCAGCUCCACAUCAUUACCGCCUCUGAACAAGAAGAAGAGCCUCAUCUGGGGCAAGAUACAGCCUGCAAAACAUUGCUAAGAGUUAACAGUUUGUCUCUAUUGCGGCCUGCUGUAGGAAUGCACACUGAGAACCAGUCCUGUGUCACCUUAUUUUGUCUUCAAGCAAUCAUGUAAAGACAGAGGAACUGCUCUGUAAGAGUGUGGCAGCAUGCAACAAGAUGUCUAUGAAUGAAUCUUCUCUCAGAGAAAGGCACAACAAGAAUAGGUGGAAGUUGAAGCCAUAUUGAAAAAAAAAAAAUCCAAUGUGAGAACUCAGAACUAUAUCUUCACCAGUGGGGUGAAGAGCGUGCCAGCACAGUGCAGCAGCCUUGCUGCUAGCUUGCCCAGGAAGGCCUCCUGCUACACCUUUCAACCCAAGGAGAACCAAGGAACCUUCACCAACACAAACUGUACUUCCCGCUGACCUUGCAGAUAACUGCGAACCAAAACACUCAGCCCUCUAAUUUCUGUUCCUGAUGGAGCUUUACAAGAUCGAGCUAAAUUUAACGAGGAGGAGGAGGAAGGUCACUCUGAAAAUCUUUCCAAACAUUUCUCUCCUGUGGCGGAAGGGAGGGUUCAGGUGCAGGAAGAGUCUACAGGCACAAGGACCUGCUGGAUCAGCCUCCUUGGCCAGAGAUCCAUUACUGUCCCACACCACCCUGCUCCUUCCCCGUCAGUCCCAUAGCAUCCCCACAUCGUGACAAGGGUGUGAGGUGGUGCUGGGACGUACCAUGAAUGCUCUGUAGAUGCCGGAGGGCAUUAAAAAAAAUAAAAUUUGCAUUUGU